UGUGGCUAUAAAAGUGACCACAAUUACUUGACAGACUCAAAAAAAAGAAUGGCUAGUUUUGCAAAUUUCAAAAGUGGUCAUGUGGUGUGCGUACCUUAUCCAGCACAAGGUCACAUAAGUCCAAUGCUCAAACUAGCCAAACUUGUUCAUCACAAUGGCUUUUACAUUACUUUUGUUAACACUGAAUUUAACCACAAACGUCUUCUCCGGUCCAACGGUCCACACUCUCUCGAUGGAUUACCGGACUUCCGGUUCGAGACCAUACCGGACGGCCUCCCAUCGACAGACCACGACGUUGAUGCCACACAACAUGUUCCUUCUCUUUGUGCUUCUACAUCUAAGAAUUGUCUGGUACCAUUCCGCAACCUUAUUAAUAAAAUUAACGCGGAUGGUAACGGCGUUGUUCCUCCAGUGACGUGUAUCGUGUCUGAUGCAGUAAUGAGUUUCACGUUGGAUGUUGCUGAGGAGUUGGGUAUUCCGGAGGUGUUGUUUUGGACUGCAAGUGCUUGUGGUUUCAUGUGUUAUUUGCACUAUCAUCACCUUGUUCAAAGAGGAUACACUCCUCUUAAAGAUGAAAAUGACAUUACAAACGGAUACUUGGAAAAGACGAUAGAUUGGGUCCCUGGAAUAUUGAAAAACAUGAGAUUAAGAGAUUUUCCAAGUUUCAUCAGAACAACAGAUCCUAAUGAUAUUAUGCUUAAUUUCUUCAUAAAUGAAACUGAAAGAAUCUCUAAAGCCUCAGCUAUAGUCUUGAACACAUUUGAUGCCUUUGAGCAUAAUGCCUUAAAUGCCCUUUCCGCCAUACAUCCUCAUAUUUACACCAUUGGUCCUUUACAGCUCAUGCUCAAUAACACAAUUGAUGAAAAUCUCAAAUCCAUUGGUUCAAAUUUGUGGAAAGAAGAUUUGAGCUGCAUUGAAUGGCUUGAUACAAAAGAGUCAAAUUCAGUUGUUUAUGUGAAUUUUGGAAGUAUAACUGUGAUGAAUUUUGAUCAAUUUAUAGAAAUGGCAUGGGGACUUGCUAAUACUAAGAAGCAAUUUUUAUGGAUCAUUAGGCCUGAUUUAAUUACAGGGACUCUGUAAAAUUGCCAGAAGAUUUUUUAAGUGAAAUUAAAGACAGAGGGAUGAUAGCCAAUUGGUGUUCUCAAGAGAAAGUGUUGAAACAUCGUGCGAUCGGAGGAUUUUUGACUCAUAGUGGAUGGAAUUCAACGUUAGAGAGUGUUUGUGCAGGAGUGCCAGUGCUUUGUUGGCCGUUUUUCGCGGAGCAACAGACGAAUUGUAGGUACAGUUGUAUUGAGUGGGAGAUGGGAAUGGAGAUAGUUGAUCUGAAGAGAAAUGAAGUUGAGAUUCUUGUGAGGGAAUUGAUGGAUGGCGAAAAGGGAAAGAAGAUGAAGUUGAAAGCUAUGAAUUGGAAGGAGGAAGCAGAGAAAGCUGCUAGUCCAGGAGGUUCUUCUUGUAUUAACUUGAACAAUGUGUUAAAUGAGGUGGCAAAUGGUCGGAUUUGAUCAGACUUAGGUUUU
This is an RNA transcript of Solanum verrucosum, 1517 nucleotides long. It is a transcript of the gene named 7-deoxyloganetin glucosyltransferase-like, with no coding region annotated. Lineage: Eukaryota; Viridiplantae; Streptophyta; Magnoliopsida; Solanales; Solanaceae. The record is from RefSeq and is a predicted model, not a curated record. The transcript is spliced from 2 exons.